This 444-nucleotide ribosomal RNA is filed under the name Limnonectes macrodon (brown mountain frog). RNAcentral's name for it is "LSU rRNA". It matches the Rfam family "Bacterial large subunit ribosomal RNA", at positions 1832 to 2489 of the family's 2925-position model. The record is from RNAcentral. Lineage: Eukaryota; Metazoa; Chordata; Amphibia; Anura; Dicroglossidae.
CGCCUCUUGAUUAAAUAUAAGAGGUCCAGCCUGCCCAGUGACUUACUUAAACGGCCGCGGUAACAUAACCGUGCAAAGGUAGCAUAAUCAUUCGUUCUUUAAAUAGGGACUCGUAUCAACGGCACCACGAGGGUUAUACUGUCUCCCCCUUCUAAUCAGUGAAACUGACCUCCCCGUGAAGAGGCGGAGAUAAAACUACAAGACGAGAAGACCCCAUGGAGCUUUAAACCCAAUAAUAAUUUUUACCUAAACAAUCCAUAAAAGCAUAAAAAUUCUAUUUGUUGGUUUUGGGUUGGGGCGACCACGGAGUAAAACAAAACCUCCCUGACGAACAGGUUUUAUCCUAAUCCAAGAGCUACUGCUCUAAGAAUCAAAAAUUUGACGUAACAUGAUCCGGUAACCGAUCAACGAACCAAGUUACCCUGGGGAUAACAGCGCAAUCCA